Molecule: ribosomal RNA, 253 nt
Filed under: uncultured bacterium
Lineage: Bacteria
Description: partial 16S ribosomal RNA
Rfam family: Bacterial small subunit ribosomal RNA
Source: RNAcentral
CACGGGGGGAGCAAACGUUAUUCGGAAUCACUGGGCUUAAAGGGUGCGUAGGCGGCCAUGUAAGUGGGGUGUGAAAUCCCUCGGCUCAACCGAGGAACUGCGCUCCAUACUGCAUGGCUUGAGGGAGACAGGGGUAAGCGGAACUGAUGGUGGAGCGGUGAAAUGCGUUGAUAUCAUCAGGAACACCGGUGGCGAAAGCGGCUUACUGGGUCUCUUCUGACGCUGAGGUACGAAAGCUAGGGGAGCGAACGGG